AAAGAACCCUGGUGAAGGGGAGUGAAAUAGACCCUGAAACCGUGUGCGUACAAGCAGCCGGAGCCCGCGAGGGGUGACGGCGUACCUUUUGUAUAAUGGGUCAGCGACUUACUGUUUGUGGCGAGCUUAACCGUAUAGGGGAGGCGAAGGGAAACCGAGUCUGAUAAGGGCGCAUAGUCGCAGGCAGUAGACCCGAAACCGGGUGAUCUAGUCAUGCCCAGGGUGAAGGUACCGUAACAGGUACUGGAGGCCCGAACCCACGCCCGUUGCAAAGGUCGGGGAUGAGGUGUGAUUAGGAGUGAAAAGCUAAUCGAACCCGGAGAUAGCUGGUUCUCCUCGAAAGCUAUUUAGGUAGCGCCUCGUACUGUAUCCUCUCGGGGGUAGAGCACUGUUAUGGCUAGGGGGUCAUCGCGACUUACCAAACCAUUGCAAAACUCCGAAUACCGAGACGGACUGUACGGGAGACACACGGCGGGUGCUAACGUCCGUCGUGAAAAGGGAAACAACCCAGACCCACAGCUAAGGU
RNAcentral lists this ribosomal RNA (526 nucleotides) under uncultured bacterium. RNAcentral's name for it is "bacterial LSU rRNA". It matches the Rfam family "Bacterial large subunit ribosomal RNA", at positions 518 to 1045 of the family's 2925-position model. The record is from RNAcentral.